This 480-nucleotide ribosomal RNA is filed under the name uncultured prokaryote. RNAcentral's name for it is "bacterial SSU rRNA". It matches the Rfam family "Bacterial small subunit ribosomal RNA", at positions 104 to 619 of the family's 1533-position model. The record is from RNAcentral.
GGGUGAGUAACGCGUGGGAACGUGCCCUUUGCUACGGAAUAGCCCCGGGAAACUGGGAGUAAUACCGGAUGUGCCCUUCGGGGGAAAGAUUUAUCGGCAAAGGAUCGGCCCGCGUUGGAUUAGGUAGUUGGUGGGGUAAUGGCCUACCAAGCCGACGAUCCAUAGCUGGUUUGAGAGGAUGAUCAGCCACACUGGGACUGAGACACGGCCCAGACUCCUACGGGAGGCAGCAGUGGGGAAUCUUAGACAAUGGGGGAAACCCUGAUCUAGCCAUGCCGCGUGAGCGAAGAAGGCCUUAGGGUUGUAAAGCUCUUUCAGCGGGGAAGAUAAUGACGGUACCCGCAGAAGAAGCCCCGGCUAACUCCGUGCCAGCAGCCGCGGUAAUACGGAGGGGGCUAGCGUUGUUCGGAAUUACUGGGCGUAAAGCGCACGUAGGCGGAUCGGAAAGUUGGGGGUGAAAUCCCGGGGCUCAACCCCGGA